AGUGAACGCUGGCGGUAGGCCUAACACAUGCAAGUCGAACGGCAGCACAGUAAGAGCUUGCUCUUACGGGUGGCGAGUGGCGGACGGGUGAGGAAUACAUCGGAAUCUACUUUUUCGUGGGGGAUAACGUAGGGAAACUUACGCUAAUACCGCAUACGACCUACGGGUGAAAGCAGGGGAUCUUCGGACCUUGCGCGAUUGAAUGAGCCGAUGUCGGAUUAGAUAGUUGGCGGGGUAAAGGCCCACCACGGCGACGAUCCGUAGCUGGUCUGAGAGGAUGAUCAGCCACACUGGAACUGAGACACGGUCCAGACUCCUACGGGAGGCAGCAGUGGGGAAUAUUGGACAAUGGGCGCAAGCCUGAUCCAGCCAUACCGCGUGGGUGAAGAAGGCCUUCGGGUUGUAAAGCCCUUUUGUUGGGAAAGAAAAGCAGCAGGUUAAUACCCCGCUGUUCUGACGGUACCCAAAGAAUAAGCACCGGCUAACUUCGUG
Molecule: ribosomal RNA, 492 nt
Filed under: uncultured bacterium
Lineage: Bacteria
Description: partial 16S ribosomal RNA
Rfam family: Bacterial small subunit ribosomal RNA
Source: RNAcentral